CAACAGGUUGGUUAGGAAUAUGAAAACUAACAACCUUACGAAAACAAUCAAUUUUGGCAUGAUGAGUAGUUAACCAAUCAAUCCCUAAAAUCACAUCAAAAGCAAGUAUCUUUAAAGAGAUAAGGUCAACAGGUAAGGUGAUGGUGCCAACUUGAAUCAAACAAGAUUUAUAAACAGUGGAUGUGAUGAAAGUUUCUCCUAACGGAGUUUCCACAGAUAGGUCAAAGUCUAAUUUUUCCGGAGUCAAAUUUAAACGUUGAGCACAAGUAGGAGAGAUAAAUGAAUGGGUAGCACCGGUAUCUAGUAAAGUAUAAACUUCACAAGAAUUUAUGAUUAGCUUACCCGUGAUCACCUCAUUUGGGUUCCUCGCAUUUUGACCAGUCACGACAAACGCUCUUCCAG
RNAcentral lists this long non-coding RNA (402 nucleotides) under Panax ginseng (ginseng). RNAcentral's name for it is "long non-coding RNA (PGIN_LNC003199)". The record is from RNAcentral. Lineage: Eukaryota; Viridiplantae; Streptophyta; Magnoliopsida; Apiales; Araliaceae.